Molecule: ribosomal RNA, 207 nt
Filed under: uncultured bacterium
Lineage: Bacteria
Description: partial 16S ribosomal RNA
Rfam family: Bacterial small subunit ribosomal RNA
Source: RNAcentral
CGUGUAGGCGGUCAGGUAAGUUGGACGUGAAAGCUCCUGGCUCAACUAGGAGAGGUCGUUCAAAACUGCCUGGCUAGAGGGCGACAGAGGGAGGUGGAAUUCCCGGUGUAGUGGUGAAAUGCGUAGAUAUCGGGAGGAACACCAGUGGCGAAGGCGGCCUCCUGGGUCGCACCUGACGCUCAGACGCGAAAGCUAGGGGAGCGAACG